Molecule: ribosomal RNA, 447 nt
Filed under: uncultured bacterium
Lineage: Bacteria
Description: bacterial SSU rRNA
Rfam family: Bacterial small subunit ribosomal RNA
Source: RNAcentral
AACGGACGCUGGCGGCAUGCCUAACACAUGCAAGUCGAACGAGACCUUCGGGUCUAGUGGCGCACGGGUGCGUAACGCGUGGGAAUCUGCCCUUGGGUUCGGAAUAACAGUUAGAAAUGACUGCUAAUACCGGAUAAUGUCUUCGGACCAAAGAUUUAUCGCCAGAAGAGGAGCCCGCGUCCGAUUAGGUAGUUGGCGGGGUAAAGGCCUACCAAGCCGACGAUCGGUAGCUGGUCUGAGAGGAUGAUCAGCCACACUGGGACUGAGAUACGGCCCAGACUCCUACGGGAGGCAGCAGUGGGGAAUAUUGGACAAUGGGGGCAACCCUGAUCCAGCAAUGCCGCGUGAGUGAUGAAGGCCUUAGGGUUGUAAAGCUCUUUUACCCGGGAAGAUAAUGACUGUACCGGGAGAAUAAGCCCCGGCUAACUUCGUGCCAGCAGCCGCGGU